RNAcentral lists this ribosomal RNA (253 nucleotides) under uncultured bacterium. RNAcentral describes it as "partial 16S ribosomal RNA". It matches the Rfam family "Bacterial small subunit ribosomal RNA", at positions 524 to 776 of the family's 1533-position model. The record is from RNAcentral.
UACGGAGGGUGCAAGCGUUAUCCGGGUUCACUGGGUUUAAAGGGUGAGUAGGUGGACAGGUAAGUCAGUGGUGAAAUCUCUGGGCUUAACUCAGAAACUGCCGUUGAUACUAUUUGUCUUGAAUAUCUUGGAGGUAAGCGGAAUAUGUCAUGUAGCGGUGAAAUGCUUAGAUAUGACAUAGAACACCGAUAGCGAAGGCAGCUUACUACAGGAAGAUUGACGCUGAGGCACGAAAGCGUGGGGAGCAAACAGG